Non-coding RNA from Paramisgurnus dabryanus, 2346 nucleotides. The record is from RefSeq and is a predicted model, not a curated record. NCBI's taxonomy places the organism in Eukaryota, Metazoa, Chordata, Actinopteri, Cypriniformes, Cobitidae.
ACAGCAAAAUCACCAGUGUUAAAUUUUCAGGGAUGGUGUUAAAUACACAGUGUUGAUGCUGUUUUAACACUAUCUGGUAAUAAAAUAACACUGCCAUUGCUAGGCCAGUGUUAUAUUCACGACAGUGUCAGUGUAAAACAAGGGUGUUAUCAGAUUUCACUCUGAGCGGUGUAAAUCAAGCCACGCCUCCACUAAACAUUUCCUGUCAGGGAUUUUACCGCCAUUUUCUUUCACAGGAGGACUGAAGAGAUCAGGUAAAUCAGUCUCAUAAUAUUCACAUGGUUUGGCUAAAUUAAACUGUUAUUUCUCUGUCUGACUCUACGCAGCCAUAUGCCAAAAAACCUAAAUAAGAUAUUUUUCCCAUUUUAUUUCCCCUUUGUUCGUUAUUUGGUUCAGUUUAAUCAGAGCUACCUUGUGUUACGUUGUUCCCUUGUUAGUUUAGUAUAAAGUUAAACUGCUAGCUAAAAGUUUAAAACCAAGAAGGAUAAUAUUAACAGGAGAUAUGAACGAAUUGAACCAUGAUAAAACGCGACAUGCACUACAAAUUGAAGGUAUGAAAUUAAGUUAAAUGAAAGCUCGUUUAUUCACCAUAUGAUGCUCGUUAUGAGGUAAUCAUAUAGGCUAGAUACCGUGAGUUAACGAGGUCGUUUACAUGCACGUGAGUGCACGGAUAUCGGUUAAUUAUUCAAAUUAUUGAAAAACACGGAGAAAACCGCAACCGCAUCGUCAUGUGUUUUUCUAAGAUGUAUGCAAACAGGGGAAAUAUCGCCAAACCAACAAUUAAUUUUACCAAAACCUCACAAUAUAUCAUCAUUUGUAUGCACAGAUUGCUGGAUUGGAUGCAUUGUGUGUUGUAAGCUUUUCGUGGCGCUAGAUGUCAGACAGAUGCAAAUGGCAAAUAUACAAAAGUGUAAAACGUGUAAGGCUAACGUGAACGUUUGUUUUUUUUCUGUCAUUAUAGAUGCUAGUUUGGUGAAAGUUCACACUGAGUGCUUCAAAUCAUUCAGACGAGAUGCUGUUUUUAGGGCAGUUUAUUAAAGAAGACCUGACAUGGAUGACUUCCAAUGAGAAACGACUGCUAAUACUUAUAUAAAUUCAUUACAGAAUGACCCUACCAGACUAUGUUUGAAUACGGCAUACCCAUGAAUUCUGGAACUGUUAUUCCUUAACCCAGUUUGGAGGAUAAGAGCUUACCAACUAGUUACAGUAUAAAUAUGCUGAGGUGAUGUAUUGCAAAAUAGCCAACAUACAACAAUAUGGAUGACCCUCUGUCUGGUCAACAGGAGUUUAAAUAUGGAUGGGACAGUGAUGUGGCAGCUCUUCCCUGGCUCAUUCACCUCUUGCCUUUCAUUUGUGAAAGGAAGAAAGAAGAAAGAGGGUCAAUGUGCAACUGAAGCUACUGAUGCUUGUAAGUUUUUUAGUAUUUUGUUCUAGUUAUUUAUUCAGCAGUUAGUUUGCUUGCAUUGUUCACCCCAUGUAAAUGCAUACAAGUUCAUAAAUACACAUCAAAUACAUUCAUCAAAUACACUCUUUUAAAACACUCUUAGGUGAUUAGCAUCAAUCCAUGCUUUGAGGUGGAUGAAUCAGCACAGCCCUGCCUGCACUGCGUUGGGAACAGAAGUUGCAUCCAGAAUUUUUGCAUCAUUCUGGACCAAAAAGCCAUUCCCUCCAUGAUGAAGACCACUGAUGCAGCCUUCCACUACAUCAUGAGUAAAACAACUACAGAACUAAAUACCAGGUUGGAACGUAUUUAAGAAAAAUGAAACGUCUUUUGAAUUGAAAUGUCUGUUUUGUUAUGGAAAAAUCUUUAGUAUUGUGAAGGAUAAGCAUUUCUGCCUGCCAGUAAGGUAAUUGCAGUGUAUUUUAAUGUUCAAGUUUUGAGUAGGGUGGCUAAUUUUUUUUUACUCAUUUGAUAUAUUAAAGACCUUAUAAUAAGUGGUUUUCAUGUCCCUGUGCUGUGGUAUAAGAUAACUUUCAUUAUUCCAUACUGUAUUCUGUAUUCUAAUUGUAGCUGAGGUAUUUAAAUAAGCAGUAUUAAAUGCAAAGUGUUGUGUGUAUCAAUGUAAAUAUUAAAUGUGAUGUACUUUAAUAAAAAGAGGUUUUGCAAUAUUUCUUGUCAUUUGUCUUUUAUAGAAACAACCCAUUAGCAACAAAAGUGGCUAUUAAUCAGUAUUUUAACACUUAACAUUGUUGAAUUCACAUUACACUGGUGUUGACCUUAAAUUAGGAGUGUUAAUUUUUAACACUGUAUUUCUGUGCCAACACCAGUGUAGUGUGGAAACAACAAUGAAUAGUGUUGAACAAAGUGUAAAAUUUAACAAUAUUGAGUGUUAAAUUAACAUAUAA